Long non-coding RNA from Humulus lupulus (European hop), 800 nucleotides. RefSeq lists it as uncharacterized. Lineage: Eukaryota; Viridiplantae; Streptophyta; Magnoliopsida; Rosales; Cannabaceae. The record is from RefSeq and is a predicted model, not a curated record. The transcript is spliced from 3 exons.
UACAAUGUCUAUCUUAGAGAAAGAAAAAUUAUAUUAAAGCCCCACAAAUAUAUUUACUUUCCCGCUUCUUCACUCUCCUUCAUGUCCGACUCCUGGACCUCGACCCCCUUCGACCUCGCCUCCAAUGUCGCCUGCCGCUUUCUCUCGCAGUCUUUCUCUCAUCUCUCUCACGAUCUCUUCUCUCUCUUCUUUCUGCUUAUAGGUGGCAAUGGCGACAUAGUUUUGGGCUCCUCGUCUGCAGGGAUGGAGUGACGGGACUGUUGGGUUAAUGAGUGGAGAGGGUUUUGAUAAAUUUGAAGUCUCCAAUUUCAAAUUGAAGCUUUUUUUCCAAAUUUUGAGUAGUUAAAGGAAUCAAUCUCUACCUCUUUAUUAGUAUUGGCAAAAUGGGCAAGUUCACAGCUCCACGGCCGAGGGAAAAAACAAAGACCCAAAAGAGUUUUAGGGAUUAAUGCAAGGAAGGUCUUAUUUGCAACAACAGGAGGUGGUUGGUGAGGUCCUCUUGUCUAUGCUACUCUGCUCCCAGGUGCUCCCGCUAUGGUGGAUAUAUAUAAAUCUUUAUAGAUAUGUUUGCUUUUUUUAUUUAAUUUAUACUCAAACUCUUAACCAUAUAUUAUUAUUAACUGAUCCUUUUCCACUGCUAGUUGGAUCUUCUUAUAAGUUAUAUCCUUAUUAUCAAGAAAUAAUUAUGAUGAUUUCUAUUCGUCCCUGUCGCUGAAGCUUAAAAUAUAUGUUUACUUCUUUUGUUAAAUUUGUUCUUUCUUAAGUUCGUUAGAUAUUUUGCUAAUUAAUUCUAAUCAUAU